CUGGGUUCGAGCCUGCGUCCAGGUCCUGGACCCCAAGUCCAAGUGGCGAAGCAAAAUCCUCCUGGGGCUCAACUUCUAUGGUAUGGACUACGCGACCUCCAAGGAUGCCCGUGAGCCUGUUGUCGGGGCCAGGAAGCUGUGCACCACCAGGCUGUGUCUUCUGCCUGCUGCCUCCAGGACACGGAAUCGUUUUCUAAUGGUGGCUCAGGGCGGCUCACAGCAUACCAUGACUGCUAUACCUUUGGAGCCAGGACAGCCCUAGCAGCCGGUGGGUCAAGUCCAAGGGGUGCUGCAUGUGGUGACUCACGCCUGUAAUCGUUA
This 321-nucleotide small RNA is filed under the name Pan troglodytes (chimpanzee). Its description in RNAcentral is "processed transcript". The record is from RNAcentral. Lineage: Eukaryota; Metazoa; Chordata; Mammalia; Primates; Hominidae.